UUUGGGAGUGCUCGAAAGAGAGCCAGAACACAGGUGCUGCAUGGCCGUCGUCAGCUCGUGUCGUGAGAUGUUGGGUUAAGUCCCGCAACGAGCGCAACCCUUGUCAUUAGUUGCUACGAAAGGGCACUCUAAUGAGACUGCCGGUGACAAACCGGAGGAAGGUGGGGAUGACGUCAGGUCAUCAUGGCCCUUAUGGGUAGGGCUACACACGUCAUACAAUGGCCGGGACAGAGGGCUGCCAACCCGCGAGGGGGAGCUAAUCCCAGAAACCCGGUCGUAGUCCGGAUCGUAGUCUGCAACUCGACUGCGUGAAGUCGGAAUCGCUAGUAAUCGCGGAUCAGCUUGCCGCGGUGAAUACGUUCCCGGGUCUUGUACACACCGCCCGUCACACCAUGGGAGCGGGUUCUGCCAGAAGUAGUUAGCCUAAC
Molecule: ribosomal RNA, 428 nt
Filed under: uncultured Roseateles sp.
Lineage: Bacteria; Pseudomonadati; Pseudomonadota; Betaproteobacteria; Burkholderiales; Sphaerotilaceae
Description: bacterial SSU rRNA
Rfam family: Bacterial small subunit ribosomal RNA
Source: RNAcentral